AAGUGAUGACCUUUUUGAUGACGAGUCUGAAUGUUUUGACGUUGAGCGGUUUUCGCGAUACGUUGUUACGUGUUGAGACUCUUAUUUAUAUACCAUUCAUGCCUUUCUGAUU
Molecule: small nucleolar RNA, 112 nt
Filed under: Linnemannia elongata AG-77
Lineage: Eukaryota; Fungi; Mortierellomycota; Mortierellomycetes; Mortierellales; Mortierellaceae
Source: RNAcentral